UCUAGUGGCGGACGGGUGAGUAACGCGUGGGAACCUGCCCAGAGGUACGGAAUAACCAGUGGAAACGCUGGCUAAUACCGCAUACACCGGAGACGGGAAAGAUUUAUCGCCUUUGGAUGGGCCCGCGUUGGAUUAGCUAGUUGGAGAGGUAAUGGCUCCCCAAGGCGACGAUCCAUAGCUGGUUUGAGAAGAUGAUCAGCCACACUGGGACUGAGACACGGCCCAGACUCCUACGGGAGGCAGCAGUGGGGAAUAUUGGACAAUGGGGGCAACCCUGAUCCAGCAAUGCCGCGUGAGUGAAGAAGGCCUUAGGGUUGUAAAGCUCUUUCAGAUGGGAAGAUAAUGACGGUACCAUCAGAAGAAGCCCCGGCUAAUUCCGUGCCAGCAGCCGCGGUAAUACGGAGGGGGCUAGCGUUGUUCGGAAUUACUGGGCGUAAAGCGCGCGUAGGCGGUUUGUCAAGUUGGGGGUGAAGUCCCGGGGCUCAACCCCGGAACUGCCUCCAAAACUGGCUGACUGGAGGCCGAGAGAGGUAAGGGGAAUUCCUAGUGUAGAGGUGAAAUUCGUAGAUAUUAGGAAGAACACCAGUGGCGAAGGCGCCUUACUGGCUCGGACCUGACGCUGAGGCGCGAAAGUGUGGGGAGCAAACAGGAUUAGAUACCCUGGUAGUCCACACCGUAAACGAUGGGUGCCAGUUGUCGGGAGGCAUAGUCUUUCGGUGACGCAGUUAACGCAUUAAGCACCCCGCCUGGGGAGUACGGUCGC
RNAcentral lists this ribosomal RNA (763 nucleotides) under uncultured Alphaproteobacteria bacterium. RNAcentral describes it as "bacterial SSU rRNA". It matches the Rfam family "Bacterial small subunit ribosomal RNA", at positions 91 to 889 of the family's 1533-position model. The record is from RNAcentral. Lineage: Bacteria; Pseudomonadati; Pseudomonadota; Alphaproteobacteria.